CAGUUAUCGUUUAUUUGAUAGUACCUUACUACUUGGAUAACCGUGGUAAUUCUAGAGCUAAUACAUGCUAAAAACCCCAACUUCGGAAGGGGUGUAUUUAUUAGAUAAAAAACCAAUGCCCUUCGGGGCUUCUUGGUGAUUCAUAAUAACUUAACGAAUCGCAUGGCCUUGCGCCGGCGAUGGUUCAUUCAAAUUUCUGCCCUAUCAACUUUCGAUGGUAGGAUAGUGGCCUACCAUGGUAUCAACGGGUAACGGGGAAUUAGGGUUCUAUUCCGGAGAGGGAGCCUGAGAAACGGCUACCACAUCCAAGGAAGGCAGCAGGCGCGCAAAUUACCCAAUCCCGACGCGGGGAGGUAGUGACAAUAAAUACUGAUACAGGGCUCUUUUGGGUCUUGUAAUUGGAAUGAGUACAAUUUAAAUCCCUUAACGAGGAACAAUUGGAGGGCAAGUCUGGUGAACACUCAGCUAGUUCCACACCUGCUGACGCCAGAGAUAGUAGGGCCUCGCCAGCUUUGUACGGGCGAGGUUAUGCCUGCUAGUCGAGCAUCCACGAACAGCGAUGGGUGGAUGCCGGCGAGGUGACCUGGUACGGGGAAGCCUAAGGGUGCGACUGUUUAGGGAUGGUCGAGAACACCUAUGGUAAUCCCGUGGCGAGCCGGAGCGAUCCGGCCGUCGUAACGCGCGGAAAGGCACCGGCCGUCGCACACCAAGCGGCGGCUCAAGGGACGUGCUGUCCCAUCCGAAAGGAUGCCUCAGACUGGAGCACCCAUCGUGUAAAGGUCUGGGGGGGAGGGGAGGCGAGCCAUCGCCGACCGCCCGGGUAAUGAUAAAACGGCCAGCAGCCGCGGUAAUUCCAGCUCCAAUAGCGUAUAUUAAAGUUGUUGCAGUUAAAAAGCUCGUAGUUGAACCUUGGGUCUGGCUGACCGGUCCGCCUCACCGCGUGCACUGGUUCGGCCGGACCUUUCCUUCUGGGGAUCCGCAUGCCCUUCACUGGGCGUGUCGGGGAACCAGGACUUUUACUUUGAAAAAAUUAGAGUGUUCAAAGCAGGCCUUUGCUCGAAUACAUUAGCAUGGAAUAAUAGAAUAGGACGUGCGGUUCUAUUUUGUUGGUUUCUAGGACCGCCGUAAUGAUUAAUAGGGAUAGUCGGGGGUAUCAGUAUUCAAUUGUCAGAGGUGAAAUUCUUGGAUUUAUUGAAGACUAACUACUGCGAAAGCAUUUACCAAGGAUGUUUUCAUUAAUCAG
RNAcentral lists this ribosomal RNA (1243 nucleotides) under Setosynnema yunnanense. RNAcentral describes it as "partial 18S ribosomal RNA". It matches the Rfam family "Eukaryotic small subunit ribosomal RNA", at positions 107 to 980 of the family's 1831-position model. The record is from RNAcentral. Lineage: Eukaryota; Fungi; Ascomycota; Dothideomycetes; Tubeufiales; Wiesneriomycetaceae.